GAUGAACGCUAGCUACAGGCUUAACACAUGCAAGUCGAGGGGUAACGAGAGGGAAGCUUGCUUUCCUUGUCGACGACCGGCGGAUGGGUGAGUAACGCGUAUCCAACCUGCCCUUCAGUAAGGGAUAGCCUUUCGAACGAAAGAAUAAUACCUUUGUGAUCGUCUGAUGACAUCAGACGACGAUGAAAGAUUUAUCACUUAAGGACGGGGAUUCGUACCAUUAGGGAGUAGGAUGGGUAACGGCCCACCUAACCUACGAGGGGUAGGGGUUCUGAGAGGAAGGUCCCCCACAUUGGAACUGAGACACGGUCCAAACUCCUACGGGAGGCAGCAGUGAGGAAUAUUGGUCAAUGGCCGUAAGGCUGAACCAGCCAAGUAGCGUGCAGGAUGACGGCCCUAUGGGUUGUAAACUGCUUUUAAACGGGGAUAAAGUGAGCCACGUGUGGUUUAUUGCAGGUACCGUUUGAAUAAGGACCGGCUAAUUCCGUGCCAGCAGCCGCCGUAA
Molecule: ribosomal RNA, 505 nt
Filed under: uncultured bacterium
Lineage: Bacteria
Description: partial 16S ribosomal RNA
Rfam family: Bacterial small subunit ribosomal RNA
Source: RNAcentral